Molecule: non-coding RNA, 89 nt
Organism: Verruconis gallopava
Lineage: Eukaryota; Fungi; Ascomycota; Dothideomycetes; Venturiales; Sympoventuriaceae
Source: the annotation of a RefSeq genome assembly
GGUGGUAUGGUCUAGUGGUAUGACGUUACGUUGUGGGUCUCACGGUCCAGUUCCGUACCAGCCUGGGUUCGAUUCCGUAAGUUGCGCAA